RNAcentral lists this ribosomal RNA (253 nucleotides) under uncultured bacterium. Its description in RNAcentral is "partial 16S ribosomal RNA". It matches the Rfam family "Bacterial small subunit ribosomal RNA", at positions 524 to 776 of the family's 1533-position model. The record is from RNAcentral.
UACGGAGGGUGCGAGCGUUGUCCGGAAUCACUGGGCGUAAAGGGCGCGUAGGCGGCCUGCUAAGUCGGGGGUGAAAUCUUGCGGCUCAACCGCAAGGCUGCCUUCUAAACUGUCAGGCUUGAGCACAGUAGAGGCAGGUGGAAUUCCCGGUGUAGCGGUGGAAUGCGUAGAGAUCGGGAAGAACAUCAGUGGCGAAGGCGGCCUGCUGGGCUGUUGCUGACGCUGAGGCGCGACAGCGUGGGGAGCAAACAGG